RNAcentral lists this ribosomal RNA (691 nucleotides) under Prorocentrum nux. RNAcentral describes it as "partial large subunit ribosomal RNA". It matches the Rfam family "Eukaryotic large subunit ribosomal RNA", at positions 35 to 657 of the family's 3401-position model. Lineage: Eukaryota; Dinophyceae; Prorocentrales; Prorocentraceae. The record is from RNAcentral.
UAAGCAUAUAAGUAAGCGGAGGAAAAGAAACUAAAUAGGAUUCCCUUAGUAAUGGCGAAUGAACAGGGAUCAGCUCAGCAUGGAAAUUGGGGCCCUCGGCCCUGAAUUGUAGUCUCGAGAUGUAUCGCCAACGGAGGCGCAGAUGUAAGCCUCUUGGAAAGGAGCAUCAACGAGGGUGAGAGUCCCGUUUGUCAUCUGCAGUCCCCCGUGCACGGCAUACCUUCUAAGAGUCGCGUUCCUCGGAAUUGGAGCGUAAAGUGGGUGGUAAAUUUCAUCUCAAGCUAAAUAUUGGUUCGAGACCGAUAGCAAACAAGUACCAUGAGGGAAAGGUGAAAAGGACUUUGAAAAGAGAGUUAAAAGUGCCUGAAAUUGCUGAAAGGGAAGCGAAUGGAACCAGUGUUGCUUGGCGAGAUUGAUGGGCACAUUGUGCUCGUUGGUUCUUGCCUUGUGUGUCAACGCCAGUUCGCGAUCGAGGAAAACUCCAGGGUCAUGGAAGCUCGUCUCCGGGUGAGUGAACGUCCUUGGCAGAACUCAUUUGCGAACUGAUUCUUUCGUGUCUGGUUGCAGUGUUCUUCGUGUCUCGGGGACGGUCUGAGGUGGGGUUCGCCUCCGCUUCUGGGCUGACCUUGGGACCGGGGCACUUCCCUGACACAGAGACGAUGACUAAAUGGUUCUAUCCGACCCGUCUUGA